UUACGGUCAUAUCACCUUGAAACACCGGUUCUCGUACGAUCACCGAAGUUAAGCAGCGUCAAGCCCGGUCAGUAAUUAGAUGGGUGACCGCUUGGGAAUACCU
This 103-nucleotide ribosomal RNA is filed under the name Acanthosepion pharaonis. The record is from RNAcentral. Lineage: Eukaryota; Metazoa; Mollusca; Cephalopoda; Sepiida; Sepiidae.